Molecule: unclassified non-coding RNA, 236 nt
Filed under: Hevea brasiliensis (rubber tree)
Lineage: Eukaryota; Viridiplantae; Streptophyta; Magnoliopsida; Malpighiales; Euphorbiaceae
Source: RNAcentral
GCACUAGGGUUUGAGUCUGAUGAGCCUUAAGCCUAAGGCGCGCCUUUAACAACUAUGAUAAUAUAUACCCCUCAUUUUACAUAUCAACAAGAAGAUAUAAUUUUACCGCACUCUUAGAUAUAUCAGCUCCAAUCGGCUAUAUCCAACAACUAUAGCUGAACUAGAUAGGCACUAAAACCUUCCCCAAAUGUAUUUGGUUACAACAGAGUGAUCCUUACAACUUGAACAAGGCUUCU